CCUACGGGCGGCACCAGUGGGGAAUAUUGCACAAUGGGCGCAAGCCUGAUGCAGCCAUGCCGCGUGUAUGAAGAAGGCCUUAGGGUUGUAAAGUACAUUCAGUUGGGAGGAAGGCGUUGAUGCUAAUAUCAUCAACGAUUGACGUUACCAACAGAAGAAGCACCGGCUAACUCCGUGCCAGCAGCCGCGGUAAUACGGAGGGUGCAAGCGUUAAUCGGAAUUACUGGGCGUAAAGCGCACGCAGGCGGUCUGUUAAGUCAGAUGUGAAAUCCCCGGGCUCAACCUGGGAACUGCACUCGAAACUGGCAGGCUAGAGUCUUGUAGAGGGGGGUAGAAUUCCAGGUGUAGCGGUGAAAUGCGUAGAGAUCUGGAGGAAUACCGGUGGCGAUGGCGGCCCCCUGGGCAAAGACUGACGCUCAGGUGCGAAAGCGUGGGGAGCAAACAGGAUUAGAUACCCGGGUAGUC
This 465-nucleotide ribosomal RNA is filed under the name uncultured bacterium. RNAcentral describes it as "bacterial SSU rRNA". It matches the Rfam family "Bacterial small subunit ribosomal RNA", at positions 338 to 795 of the family's 1533-position model. The record is from RNAcentral.